This 439-nucleotide ribosomal RNA is filed under the name uncultured bacterium. RNAcentral's name for it is "partial 16S ribosomal RNA". It matches the Rfam family "Bacterial small subunit ribosomal RNA", at positions 342 to 795 of the family's 1533-position model. The record is from RNAcentral.
CGGGAUGCUGCACCAGUGGGGAAUAUUGCACAAUGGAGGAAACUCUGAUGCAGCAACGCCGCGUGGAGGAUGACACUUUUCGGAGCGUAAACUCCUUUUAUAUAGGAAGAAGAUGACGGUACUAUAUGAAUAAGCGCCGGCUAACUCCGUGCCAGCAGCCGCGGUAAUACGGAGGGCGCAAGCGUUACUCGGAAUCACUGGGCGUAAAGAGCGUGUAGGCGGAUUAAAAAGUCAGAAGUGAAAUCCUAUAGCUUAACUAUAGAACUGCUUCUGAAACUCUUAAUCUAAAAUAUGGGAGAGGUAGAUGGAAUUUCUGGUGUAGGGGUAAAAUCCGUAGAGAUCAGAAGGAAUACCGAUUGCGAAGGCGAUCUACUAGAACAUUAUUGACGCUGAGACGCGAAAGCGUGGGGAGCAAACAGGAUUAGAUACCCGUGUAGUC